RNAcentral lists this ribosomal RNA (476 nucleotides) under uncultured bacterium. Its description in RNAcentral is "SSU rRNA". It matches the Rfam family "Bacterial small subunit ribosomal RNA", at positions 26 to 521 of the family's 1533-position model. The record is from RNAcentral.
AGGAUAAACGCUGGCGGCGUGCAUGAGACAUGCAAGUCGAACGGACGAUCAGGGCUUGCUCUGAUCGUUAGUGGCGGACGGCUGAGUAACGCGUAGGUGACCUGCCCCGAAGUGGGGAAUAACUGCCCGAAAGGGUGGCUAAUACCGCAUGUGGUGGUGUGUUCAUUCACACCAGUAAAGCCGCAAGGCGCUUCGGGAGGGGCCUGCGUCCGAUUAGCUCGUUGGUGGGGUAACGGCUCACCAAGGCGACGAUCGGUAGGUGGUCUGAGAGGACGAUCACCCAGACUGGGACUGAGACACGGCCCAGACUCCUACGGGAGGCAGCAGUCGGGAAUUUUGCGCAAUGGACGAAAGUCUGACGCAGCAACGCCGCGUGAGGGAUGAAGGCCUUCGGGUUGUAAACCUCUUUUAUCAGGGAAGAUAAUGACGGUACCUGAUGAAUAAGUCACGGCUAACUACGCGCCAGCAGCCGCGGU